This 558-nucleotide ribosomal RNA is filed under the name uncultured bacterium. Its description in RNAcentral is "bacterial SSU rRNA". It matches the Rfam family "Bacterial small subunit ribosomal RNA", at positions 777 to 1333 of the family's 1533-position model. The record is from RNAcentral.
AAUAGAUACCCCGGGUAGUCCACACGGUAAACGAUGAAUGCUAGGUGUAGGGGGUAUCGACCCCUUCGUGUGCCGGAGUAAACACAAUAAGCAUUCCGCCUGGGGAGUACGGCCGCAAGGUUGAAACUCAAAGGAAUUGACGGGGGCCCGCACAAGCAGCGGAGCAUGUGGUUUAAUUCGAAGCAACGCGAAGAACCUUACCAGGUCUUGACAUCCAGUAAAAACUGUAGAGAUACAGUGUCCCUUCGGGGGUACUGAGACAGGUGGUGCAUGGUUGUCGUCAGCUCGUGUCGUGAGAUGUUGGGUUAAGUCCCGCAACGAGCGCAACCCUUAUUUUCAGUUACUAACGCGUGAAGGCGAGGACUCUGAAGAGACUGCCGGGGACAACUCGGAGGAAGGUGGGGACGACGUCAAAUCAUCAUGCCCCUUAUGACCUGGGCUACACACGUGCUACAAUGGCUACUACAAAGAGGAGCGAGCCCGUAAGGGGGAGCGGAUCUGAGAAAAGUAGUCCCAGUUCGGGUUGUGGGCUGCAACCCGCCACGUGAAGUCGGAGUU